Molecule: ribosomal RNA, 253 nt
Filed under: uncultured bacterium
Lineage: Bacteria
Description: partial 16S ribosomal RNA
Rfam family: Bacterial small subunit ribosomal RNA
Source: RNAcentral
UACGUAGGGUGCAGGCGUUAAUCGGAAUUACUGGGCGUAAAGCGUGCGCAGGCGGUUUCUUAAGUCAGAUGUGAAAGCCCCGGGCUUAACCUGGGAACUGCGCUUGAGACGGGAUGGCUAGAGAUCGGGAGAGGAGAGUGGAAUUCCCAGUGUAGAGGUGAAAUUCGUAGAUAUUGGGAAGAACACCGGUGGCGAAGGCGGCUCUCUGGACCGAUACUGACGCUGAGGCGCGAAAGCGUGGGGAGCAAACAGG